AACGCACCUUGCGCUCCUUGGUAUUCCGAGGAGCAUGCCUGUUUGAGUGUCAUUAAUAUAUCAACCUCUUCAGCUUUUGCUUGUUGAGUGUUGGAUGUGGGGGUCAUUUUUUGCUGGUCUUCUCAGGUCAGCUCCCCUGAAAUACAUUAGCGGAACAAUUUGUGGACCGUUCAUUGGUGUGAUAACUAUCUACGCUAUUGACGUGAAGCAGUUCAGCUUCUAACAGUCCAUUGACUUGGACAAAAUUUUAUUAAUGUGACCUCAAAUCAGGUAGGACUACCCGCUGAACUUAA
Molecule: unclassified non-coding RNA, 293 nt
Filed under: uncultured Cortinarius
Lineage: Eukaryota; Fungi; Basidiomycota; Agaricomycetes; Agaricales; Cortinariaceae
Description: sequence contains ITS2
Rfam family: 5.8S ribosomal RNA (bases 1-52)
Source: RNAcentral